GGAGCUACAGGAACUUUGCCAGCCCCCAGCAGGUGCUGGACCUGCUUUUCCUCAGGUACGAAAACAUGGUUUCUGUCUGUCACGGGGCUGGCAAAUCCCUGAAGCAGCUAAAAUGUGCCAUGUCCUCCAUCCUAAAGAUCUGGCUGGAAUUCUAUUCCACUGAUUUCCACGAGCCUCCUGGAUUUCAUUCCUUGAAGUUUCUG
This is a long non-coding RNA of Galeopterus variegatus (Sunda flying lemur), 203 nucleotides long. RefSeq lists it as uncharacterized. NCBI's taxonomy places the organism in Eukaryota, Metazoa, Chordata, Mammalia, Dermoptera, Cynocephalidae. The record is from RefSeq and is a predicted model, not a curated record. The transcript has 3 exons.